GGACGUGGGGGCAACCUGGCUGCAACAUCUGUCACCCCAUUGAUCACCAGGUUGAUUCGGCUGACCUGGCUGGCCAGGCAGGGUCCCCUUCCUCACCGCUCCAUGCCCAUGUGCGUCUCUCUUGCAGCUGCUGCUGGUGGAAGAGGACGACCACCCCCAAUAUAGGUCUGCUUCCUCAGCCAAGGGUAUGUGAGUAGCCUCUCUGCCUGCUAGAACCUCCAUACCAGCUCUCCAGGAGCUAGACCUCAAGCCCUGGGAAGAGAGACAGGGAUGUGUGUUGGGCAGCCCGGGAGACCUGUGUCACAGCUAUAGCUCAGGGGUAU
This 323-nucleotide small nuclear RNA is filed under the name Chinchilla lanigera (long-tailed chinchilla). RNAcentral describes it as "7SK RNA (ENSCLAG00000021569.1)". It matches the Rfam family "7SK RNA". From Rfam's summary of the family: 7SK was discovered as an abundant small nuclear RNA in the mid-70s but a possible function has only recently been suggested. Two independent studies have found that 7SK RNA binds the CDK9/cyclin T complex (known as elongation factor P-TEFb). Lineage: Eukaryota; Metazoa; Chordata; Mammalia; Rodentia; Chinchillidae. The record is from Rfam by way of RNAcentral.